RNAcentral lists this long non-coding RNA (1083 nucleotides) under Cottoperca gobio. RNAcentral's name for it is "lncRNA (ENSCGOG00000008352.1)". Lineage: Eukaryota; Metazoa; Chordata; Actinopteri; Perciformes; Bovichtidae. The record is from RNAcentral.
GUUUUUAUGGGUGUUUCCUGGUGUCACAGAGUUUCUCAACAAUAAAUGGGGAAAUGGAAGAUUUAAAGACGAGUAGAGUUAGUUUUAAACGAUCAACCAAAGAGGUUUGACCAAUACUAAAAUACUACUAUUGAGUUUUUAACCAAUAACUCUUCUUAUGACAUUUAUUAACAAGCGAAGAAUGGUAAACACACUCCAGUGACAGGUGCUUCUAAAUCAUUGAUGCUACUCUGUAGGUCGUUGGACUCAUCGGUAAAUAUUUGCAAUUGGGUUAAUCUUUUAUUGACCUCAGUGAACAUCAUUAGAGGUGUGUGGUUCCAAGGUCCUUGAGAGUGUAUGGACUGUACAUUACGGUAAAGAAAGUACACGGAGCUGAUGUUUGAGUUCCUGUAUAUCUGACCAAUCAGACGUACAGCACAUACCGUCAGAGAAUGUGGCCAUCCUGGAGCUGAGCGUGUCAUUCAAAGCUGCAGUAUCGGCCGCUGAUGCACUUCUUUGGUAAUGUUUGUUUGUUUUUCUUUCACAAUUGGCAGGAUCGGUUACCAAUAAGUAUAGCCUUGACCCUCCGUGCCACCCAAAACCACACCACAACACGCUGUCGAUGGCGUCGAGCAGUCUUUUUGAACAACAGUUAACCCAGUUUCAUCGACGUCCUGUUGAGAGACAGAGAGAAGGUCCUCAAGUCGCCAUCACCUUGGGGAACUCUAACAGCACUGCCCUUGGAGAUGCAAUCAGCUGCACACCGCUAUUUUAUUUACUAGGAGCUCAUUAGGGAGCUCAAUCUGUUGACUAUUCUGUGUGCACAUAAUUAUCUAAUCAGCUCGGUUGAUGCACUUGAUCGCACAUUUCUAAUAUGGCAUCAAUGAUUGCUGCGUUACUACUGUAAAUUCAACUUCGCUUCAAAUUACUGAAGCUUUGCUGACUUUCAGCGCUACGUCACAUGAUCAGUUUUGAAAUUGACUGUAGCAGCUUUGAUUAAAUCGUCAAAGAAACUCAAACGUCAUACUGUAUAAGAUGUAUAACUUCAUCUUCAGUGCAGUUUUCCUCCACGAUGGGACAUAUAGAACAUGAACUCACUUCAUG